CAGCCGUAAACAAUGUGCGUUAGGUAUGUCGGUAACCACGUGUUACUGAUGUGCCGAAGAGAAAUCGUGAAACGCAUCACCUGGGAAGUACGGUCGCAAGGCUGAAACUUAAAGGAAUUGGCGGGGGAGCACCACAACAGGUGGAGCCUGCGGUUUAAUUGGAUUCAACACCGUAAAACUCACCAGGGAAGACUGUUACAUGAAGGCCGAGAUGAAGACUCUGCUAGAUUUUCAGAGAGGUGGUGCAUGGCGUCAGUGACU
Molecule: ribosomal RNA, 261 nt
Filed under: uncultured archaeon
Lineage: Archaea
Description: partial 16S ribosomal RNA
Rfam family: Archaeal small subunit ribosomal RNA
Source: RNAcentral